Molecule: ribosomal RNA, 404 nt
Filed under: Verrucomicrobiota bacterium
Lineage: Bacteria; Pseudomonadati; Verrucomicrobiota
Description: Verrucomicrobia bacterium partial 16S ribosomal RNA
Rfam family: Bacterial small subunit ribosomal RNA
Source: RNAcentral
UGGGGAAUAUUGCACAAUGGGGGAAACCCUGAUGCAGCGACGCCGCGUGAGCGAUGAAGGCUUUCGAGUCGUAAAGCUCUGUCCUAUGGGAAGAUAAUGACGGUACCAUAGAAGAAAGCCCCGGCUAAUUACGUGCCAGCAGCCGCGGUAAUACGUAAGGGGCGAGCGUUGUCCGGAAUUAUUGGGCGUAAAGAGUGCGUAGGCGGCAAAUUAAGUCAGAUGUGAAAACUAAUGGCUCAACCCAUAGAUUGCAUCUGAAACUGAUAUGCUUGAGUCAAGGAGAGGAAAGUGGAAUUCCUAGUGUAGCGGUGAAAUGCGUAGAUAUUAGGAGGAAUACCGGUGGCGAAGGCGACUUUCUGGACUUGAACUGACGCUGAGGCACGAAAGCGUGGGGAGCAAACAGG